Molecule: non-coding RNA, 83 nt
Organism: Podarcis lilfordi (Lilford's wall lizard)
Lineage: Eukaryota; Metazoa; Chordata; Lepidosauria; Squamata; Lacertidae
Source: the annotation of a GenBank genome assembly
GGCUGUGUGGCUCAGUGGGUGGAGCACCUGCUUUGCAUGCAGAAGGUCCCAGGGUGAAUCCCUGUCAUCUCCUGGCAGGGCUG